UAAACUGACCAAUCACAGUGCACAUACUAAUUGAGAGAUGUAAUAAUAUUAGUUCAAUGACAAAAGUUCUUUGGUUUGACCAGCUGACUACAGAUUUGCUGUAUUGGAAUCAAAGCGAUGGACUUCUUUAACUUGGGUUGAUAAGUCAACUUAUUACAUGUCAAAUAAAGUAGCGGACCAGCCUUUUCCUCAGCAUGUACUCAACCUCUGGGACAUUCAGUUUGAAUGAUCCUGCAUUAUUUUUCUUGAGGAUUUUUAGUUGUGUAGUAAGUCUCUUAUAACCAAGCUUGCUCAGGACUGUACUGGAGAAUAUCGGCCCACCGUCUUGUUUCUACGGACCUUACUGGGCUCAGUCUGUGCUGUCAAGACCUUGGCCCAAUAUUCUCCCAGUACAGCCCUUACUCUUGGUUAAUAAGCUAUAUUUAUGAAUAUUAUUUUUUUAUUGUUUCAGACUCGUACAAUUGAAGAGUUAAAGGAUCGCUACUAUAGCUGUGUUACAAGGUUACUCAAGGCUCGAGCCCCCCCAGGGCAAGAACCACAGAAUUUGCCUGCACCAUAUGACAGUCAGCAUGAAACAGAGAGAAAAAGACAACUUCUGAAGCUGUUUAACCGUACUCAAGAACAGGUGCAAGAGGAAGAAAUGCU
Orbicella faveolata is the source of this 645-nucleotide long non-coding RNA. The record is from RefSeq and is a predicted model, not a curated record. Lineage: Eukaryota; Metazoa; Cnidaria; Anthozoa; Scleractinia; Merulinidae.